UUUGUUACUUCAAACCAAUCGGACUUCGGUCUGACAUCAAGUGAUAUUGAACAAUUUAGCUGAUCGCACGGUCUAAGAACCGGCGACAUAUCCUUCAAAUGUCUGCCUUAUCAACUUUCGAUGGUAGAUUAUGCGCCUACCAUGGUUGUAACGGGUAACGGAGAAUCAGGGUUUGAUUCCGGAGAGGGAGCCUGAGAAACGGCUACCACAUCCAAGGAAGGCAGCAGGCACGCAAAUUACCCACUCCCGGCACGGGGAGGUAGUGACGAAAAAUAACAAGCUGGUCUCAAUGAGUUCCAGCAUUGUAAUGGGAACAAUUUAAAUCUUUUAUCGAGGAUCUAUUGGAGGGCAAGUCUGGUGCCAGCAGCCGCGGUAAUUCCAGCUUCAAUAGCGUAUAUUAAAGUUGUUGCGGUUAAAAAGCUCGUAGUUGGAUCUAGGAUUAGGGCUACGGUCGUUCAGCUUGGACGUACUGUAUGCCCGACUCCUUUUCUCUAGUAUUCGAUUGUUGCUCUUAAAUGAGUGACUUUAGUUGCUGGAACUUUUACCUUGAAAAAAUUGAAGUGCUCAAGGCAGGUU
RNAcentral lists this ribosomal RNA (576 nucleotides) under uncultured eukaryote. Its description in RNAcentral is "SSU rRNA". It matches the Rfam family "Eukaryotic small subunit ribosomal RNA", at positions 203 to 786 of the family's 1831-position model. The record is from RNAcentral.